This 74-nucleotide transfer RNA is filed under the name Bacteroides fragilis str. 3998 T(B) 4. Its description in RNAcentral is "partial tRNA-Val". It matches the Rfam family "tRNA". Rfam says of the family: Transfer RNA (tRNA) molecules are approximately 80 nucleotides in length. Their secondary structure includes four short double-helical elements and three loops (D, anti-codon, and T loops). Further hydrogen bonds mediate the characteristic L-shaped molecular structure. tRNAs have two regions of fundamental functional importance: the anti-codon, which is responsible for specific mRNA codon recognition, and the 3' end, to which the tRNAs corresponding amino acid is attached (by aminoacyl-tRNA synthetases). tRNAs cope with the degeneracy of the genetic code in two manners: having more than one tRNA (with a specific anti-codon) for a particular amino acid; and 'wobble' base-pairing, i.e. permitting non-standard base-pairing at the 3rd anti-codon position. Lineage: Bacteria; Pseudomonadati; Bacteroidota; Bacteroidia; Bacteroidales; Bacteroidaceae. The record is from RNAcentral.
GUUUAGCUCAGCUGGUUCAGAGCAUCUGCCUUACAAGCAGAGGGUCGGCGGUUCGAAUCCGUCAACGCCCACAA